Molecule: ribosomal RNA, 492 nt
Filed under: uncultured bacterium
Lineage: Bacteria
Description: partial 16S ribosomal RNA
Rfam family: Bacterial small subunit ribosomal RNA
Source: RNAcentral
AGUGAACGCUGGCGGUAGGCCUAACACAUGCAAGUCGAACGGCAGCACAGUGAGAGCUUGCUCUUACGGGUGGCGAGUGGCGGACGGGUGAGGAAUACAUCGGAAUCUACUUUUUCGUGGGGGAUAACGUAGGGAAACUUACGCUAAUACCGCAUACGACCUACGGGUGAAAGCAGGGGAUCUUCGGACCUUGCGCGAUUGAAUAAGCCGAUGUCGGAUUAGCUAGUUGGCGGGGUAAAGGCCCACCAAGGCGACGAUCCGUAGCUGGUCUGAGAGGAUGAUCAGCCACACUGGAACUGAGACACGGUCCAGACUCCUACGGGAGGCAGCAGUGGGGAAUAUUGGACAAUGGGCGCAAGCCUGAUCCAGCCAUACCGCGUGGGUGAAGAAGGCCUUCGGGUUGUAAAGCCCUUUUGUUGGGAAAGAAAAGCAGCAGGUUAAUACCCCGCUGUUCUGACGGUACCCAAAGAAUAAGCACCGGCUAACUUCGUG